This 825-nucleotide small RNA is filed under the name Histoplasma capsulatum var. duboisii H88. Its description in RNAcentral is "Histoplasma capsulatum H88 hypothetical RNA". Lineage: Eukaryota; Fungi; Ascomycota; Eurotiomycetes; Onygenales; Ajellomycetaceae. The record is from RNAcentral.
CCCCGAGCGUCCCUUAGACAUCAACCAUGAUAUAUUUCCCACAGGACUUGACGGAACCUCGUCCGCAAUCUGGGAUGAAGCAUCUAACCCUGAAAAAGAGGUACCCACCGGCAAUUUAGAGUCUUUACCAGAAAAUAACAGAGGACUUUUCAACUUCGACACAUCCGAGGACGGUUUCAAGCCACAUGUCGAAGCUGAAUUCCAGAGAUCCACACCCACAUCCACCGCUGGUUCAUACUUCCCAGAAGAUUCGGCCAAGCCUACAGGCGCUAAAUAUCUAGAUAGUGUCCCACGCUUUGAAUCAUCUUUGUCCAGAUUCUCAUGGGAGUCGGAUGUGGCUCGCACGAACCGUCUUAGUCCACCAUCGGAUUUCCAGCUAGAGCUAUCCCCGCCGAAAACUGGCCAUGUCGCUGCAGCGUCUGGUGCAAAGGCAGCAGUUAGCGGCGGAUACUUUGAUCUACUCAACGGCCAACAACUAAGCUCGGAAAGGACUCCAAAUGCUACUAGCCAAGGCUCCUUUGCUUGUCCACGCAAUAACAAAUAUCGGACUGAAAGCAGAUUCAUCGAGAAUUUCGUUGACAUACAUUCCAGUAGCGCUAGCGAUUCAGCCAUUCAGAACUCCAAUGGCAUCCAAAAAUACAAGAACAUGAGAAGCAUCAGUGAUGGAUGGCUGUCUGAUGGGAAGCGUCGUGGUUACGGCUAUCGUUUUGUGAUGGAGGAUGAUGGCAAACCCCCAAACUCAGAAACAAACGAUAUAAUGCAGUUAAUUUAUCAAGAAUCCACACCUGAGACCGAUCUACGUGAUCUCGUCGAGUUUACGGGCAG